Molecule: ribosomal RNA, 250 nt
Filed under: Clostridium sporogenes
Lineage: Bacteria; Bacillati; Bacillota; Clostridia; Eubacteriales; Clostridiaceae
Description: partial 23S ribosomal RNA
Rfam family: Bacterial large subunit ribosomal RNA
Source: RNAcentral
CCGAAGAAGGACGCGAUAAGCUGCGAUAAGCCUUGGGUAGCCGCAAAUAGGCUGAGAUCCAGGGAUUUCCGAAUGAGGAAACUCACAUGGGUAACCCCAUGUAUCAUGCACUGAAUACAUAGGUGUAGGAGGGUAAACCCGGGGAACUGAAACAUCUAAGUACCCGGAGGAAGAGAAAGAAAAAUCGAUUUCCUAAGUAGCGGCGAGCGAACGGGAAAGAGCCCAAACCAGAAACUUGUUUCUGGGGUUG